Molecule: ribosomal RNA, 497 nt
Filed under: uncultured bacterium
Lineage: Bacteria
Description: partial 16S ribosomal RNA
Rfam family: Bacterial small subunit ribosomal RNA
Source: RNAcentral
GAUGAACGCUGGCGGCGUGCCUAAUACAUGCAAGUCGAGCGAACAGACGAGGAGCUUGCUCCUCUGACGUUAGCGGCGGACGGGUGAGUAACACGUGGAUAACCUACCUAUAAGACUGGGAUAACUUCGGGAAACCGGAGCUAAUACCGGAUAAUAUAUUGAACCGCAUGGUUCAAUAGUGAAAGACGGUUUUGCUGUCACUUAUAGAUGGAUCCGCGCCGCAUUAGCUAGUUGGUAAGGUAACGGCUUACCAAGGCGACGAUGCGUAGCCGACCUGAGAGGGUGAUCGGCCACACUGGAACUGAGACACGGUCCAGACUCCUACGGGAGGCAGCAGUAGGGAAUCUUCCGCAAUGGGCGAAAGCCUGACGGAGCAACGCCGCGUGAGUGAUGAAGGUCUUCGGAUCGUAAAACUCUGUUAUUAGGGAAGAACAAAUGUUUAAGUAACUAUGCACGUCUUGACGGUACCUAAUCAGAAAGCCACGGCUAACUACGUG